CGUAGGGACCAAGCGUUUGUUCGGAUUUACUGGGCGUAAAGGGCGCGUAGGCGGCGUGUUAAGUCACUUGUGAAAUCUCUAAGCUUAACUUAGAACGGUCAAGUGAUACUGAUGUGCUAGAGUGCAGAAGGGGCAACCGGAAUUCUUGGUGUAGCGGUGAAAUGCGUAGAUAUCAAGAGGAACACCUGAGGUGAAGACGGGUUGCUGGGCUGACACUGACGCUGAUGCGCGAAAGCUAGGGUAGCAAACGGGAUUAGAUACCCCGGUAGUCCUAGCCCUAAACGAUGAAUACUUGGUGUCUGGAGUUCUUUUCGUCUGGGUGCCGUCGCUAACGUUUUAAGUAUUCCGCCUGGGGAGUACGCACGCAAGUGUG
Molecule: ribosomal RNA, 373 nt
Filed under: uncultured organism
Description: bacterial SSU rRNA
Rfam family: Bacterial small subunit ribosomal RNA
Source: RNAcentral